CACAGGGCACCCAUGUGAAGAGUUUUGGAGGACUCAGAUGAUUUUCUGCUAAAGCGGUGAGACAGAAGCCACCUCUUAAAAGAGAUUUCACAUGUGCACAAGAUGGAGAGAGUGAGGCUGAAUUUUUACCUGAUGACUUUGAAGAAAAACCAGAGAAGGAAAAGAAACAUACCAAUUUCACUUUGUGCAACGUUUGUAACAUUCAGCUCAAUUCGGCAGCUCAAGCACAAAUCCACUACAAUGGCAAAUCACAUCAAAAGAGAUUAAAACAACUGAGCAACGGGAUGCUGAAAAAUGACAACGAGACUGGAAAAACUUAAUGAAGUUAUCUGAGCUUCAGCCUCUUCGCCUGCAAUAUGGGUAAAAUAACAGUACUUGCUCUACAAGAUUGCUUUCAGGAUUCAUUGGGAAAACAUCUAAAGAGUUUAUUUACUGCCUGGCAUCCAGAAGGGUUUGAAAAAAGGUUGAAGAAAAUGUUUAUUGAAAAUAGCUAAACUGAAGGAUCUCUGAAGCCAGCAUAUACUUUGAAACCCUGGGGGAGAAAUAGAAGAACCAAUGGCCAAAUAAAAAUAUUCUGCAUAGAUCCUAAAUGUUUUUGCAUGUGUGCAGCAGUAAUUAUUAGAAAAUCCAAAAUUUUCAGACCUGUUGAUCUUCUAAGAGCUGCUAUAGUAUUUUUCUUGAGCCCUAGAAAUGUGCUAUUUAACUAUGACUGUAAACUAUUCCUCCCAUUCACUUUAACUUAUCUAUGAUAAAUAGGCACUAAUAAAGGGCUCUGUCAUUUAAAUAAAUGGCAUACUUCAUCACUUCCUUUUAACACUUUCUACCAUCCUUCAUAUUACCUGCACAGCUGACAAGUAGAAAAAUUAAAUGCACUGAGUCUCAUCUCUGCCUUGUGGUCUGCCUACCAUCUGGUAGGUUAUCAGUGCCCUGACAUCUAUGUUUUGGUCUCUUUGUUAUUUACUUUAA
Long non-coding RNA from Hyaena hyaena (striped hyena), 966 nucleotides. RefSeq lists it as uncharacterized. The record is from RefSeq and is a predicted model, not a curated record. NCBI's taxonomy places the organism in Eukaryota, Metazoa, Chordata, Mammalia, Carnivora, Hyaenidae. The transcript is spliced from 4 exons.